UACGUAGGGUGCGAGCGUUAAUCGGAAUUACUGGGCGUAAAGCGUGCGCAGGCGGUAAGUUAAGUCUGAUGUGAAAGCCCCGGGCUCAACCUGGGAAUGGCAUUGGAAACUGGCUUGCUGGAGUGUGGCAGAGGGGGGUGGAAUUCCGCGUGUAGCAGUGAAAUGCGUAGAGAUGCGGAGGAACACCGAUGGCGAAGGCAGCCCCCUGGGCCAACACUGACGCUCAGGCACGAAAGCGUGGGGAGCAAAAGGG
This 253-nucleotide ribosomal RNA is filed under the name uncultured bacterium. Its description in RNAcentral is "partial 16S ribosomal RNA". It matches the Rfam family "Bacterial small subunit ribosomal RNA", at positions 524 to 776 of the family's 1533-position model. The record is from RNAcentral.